RNAcentral lists this long non-coding RNA (227 nucleotides) under Sarcophilus harrisii (Tasmanian devil). RNAcentral describes it as "lncRNA (ENSSHAG00000029702.1)". The record is from RNAcentral. Lineage: Eukaryota; Metazoa; Chordata; Mammalia; Dasyuromorphia; Dasyuridae.
AGAUGGCUCUCUUCAUCACUAAACAAUUGGAACUGGUUUGUAUCAUCUCAUUGUGAAGAGAGCCACAUCCAUCAGAACUGAGCAUCGUAUAAUCUUGUUGCCGUGUUCAAUGAUCUCCUGGUCCUGCUCAUUUCACUCUGCAUCAGUUCAUAUAAAGGAUUGACUCCCUCUUUCAUCACAACUAGGAUCCAGAACAUAGGUGGUCAUGACCUCCCCGACUUCUCAAG